GGGAAACAGGCUGCGGAGCGUGGGAGAGAUUGUGAGGUAAGAAAGGAGAACAAAUUAAGGAAAAAAUAGAUCGAGGGAAUGAAGCCGAGCUGGAGAGAUCUAAUUAAAUUCUGACAGCGAGGGAAAAAGGCCAUGUGUGUGUGUACCUGCGUCCAUGGCUGGGAAUAGAUUGAAUGACGCAAGGUUUAUUCAUGACAUUUGCAGAAACAAUGAGUUAUUCAUAGUGGACUGGAGCAACGGAACAUUUCUGACAGCCAACAUGGAAAAAUUUGAGAUUUAUCCAAAUCAGCACAUGCUCCCAAAUCAACAGUCCCAUCAACCAAUCAGCUUUCAGAG
Cyprinus carpio carpio is the source of this 336-nucleotide long non-coding RNA. The record is from Ensembl. NCBI's taxonomy places the organism in Eukaryota, Metazoa, Chordata, Actinopteri, Cypriniformes, Cyprinidae.